GGCGGGGGUUCCUUCUUUAACAAAAAAGUGUGCGUAAACCGCGUAUAGCCGAAUCUCAGUUGCUCAACAUACCGCCGUGCACACACAUGCAGUGGUACCGCCCAUAGGUCAAAAAUCGAAAAAUAAGUUGUCUUCUAUUUCACUGCCUUAUUUUUUCAUGGCUCAAUUAUUUUCACAAAAGUGUUAGAACAUAAAUUUAAUACAUAUCCAUCACAUAAUGGAGUAGAUUUUUCACGUUCAAGAAAAUUUUAAAAGAUUUAGCGAUUUCUACAUUUUUUUAUCGUCUUUGUGAAUCACAAUCAAUUGAAUUUCCAAACUAUUUGAACUAUAAAACCAUAGUAUAGACGUACCGUGACCUGCUCUAAUUCCGUGUAUCGCCUAAUACCGUGCUUUUCAUGAAAAUGUACAAAUAUUCAUAUAUCACUAGUUCCUUGCACUAACUUUUCUUUACAAUGUUGAAAUGCAAUAAAAACAAUGUUGACACUUGAUUGUAUUGACAUUUUAUGCUCACACAUCACGAAAAACAAAACAAAAACAAAAGCACAUGCUAUGAACUGUCAAACGUAAGCUUCCAUUACUGCAGAGGCUAAGAUUGUGCGUGAAAUUAAAUUUGCAACUUUCGCUGAUUUUCAUACAAAUUAAUUGAAACUUUUGCACUCACUCCUCUUCUAUUGGUAUGUAUUUUAAUCAGGUAAUAAAUUAUCUAGAACAAGUGUUCAUUUUAACACUUAUUUUCUAGGAAUUUGUUGCCACGGAAUUCGGACUUCAUCAUUCACAGUAGUUCCUAAUACCGCGGAACGAUUGUCAUUCAAACAUGACACCAAAAAAACGCAUGUUGUACUCUCUGGACCAAAUGAACAAUGCCUUGGAUAGAGUGAGAAACGGUGGAACUAUCCGCGGUGCAUCCCGUUUGUAUGGAAUUCCAGAGAUCACCAUACACGACAAAAUUAUCCAGCGAUAUACACUCAGAAUCCGAUCAAAUCGUCGAUAGUUUAAAUGAUAAUCUUUUUUGCCAUUCUUCAAGUUCACACGUAGUCUAGUUUUGAAGUUAUACAUUCUCUACAUAAUAAGUUAAACUAUGCAAGUUUUGCACCCACGAAAUUUGACCAGUGCAUAACUUCCACCGCUAACCACCAUCAUUGUUUUUUUCACGUUGUUGGUGUCAAUUUCGUCGAGGUGAAAUUGUAAUUAUUUGCGGCUAAAAUACGUGUGUGCCUCACGCAAGAAGUUGGAUUUGAAACAUAAUUUGUUCCUAGACGAUAUGGAAAAAUAAAAGACACUUCCGAAGUGAUGAACGGCAAGGAAUCAUUGUUGCAGCUAUUCCGGGCAACAUUCCGAGACAAUUGUGCAAAAUGCUGAUCGACAGAAGAGCGAAGUGGAAGGCGGAAAGAGAUCCUGAAGCACCUUGACCGGAACAUUUUAGUGAUAUUGAUUAAAAUAUGCGAAUGUACUCUUUCAACAUUGUGAUACGUAGAUUCUUCAUAAUAAAUAAAUGUGUCCGUUCCGUCCGUUUACUGGUCUUUCAUAGGAA
Long non-coding RNA from Aedes aegypti (yellow fever mosquito), 1531 nucleotides. RefSeq lists it as uncharacterized. The transcript is spliced from 2 exons. The record is from RefSeq and is a predicted model, not a curated record. NCBI's taxonomy places the organism in Eukaryota, Metazoa, Arthropoda, Insecta, Diptera, Culicidae.